RNAcentral lists this ribosomal RNA (497 nucleotides) under uncultured bacterium. Its description in RNAcentral is "partial 16S ribosomal RNA". It matches the Rfam family "Bacterial small subunit ribosomal RNA", at positions 28 to 507 of the family's 1533-position model. The record is from RNAcentral.
GAUGGACGCUGGCGGCGUGCCUAAUACAUGCAAGUCGAGCGAACAGACGAGGAGCUUGCUCCUCUGACGUUAGCGGCGGACGGGUGAGUAACACGUGGAUAACCUACCUAUAAGACUGGGAUAACUUCGGGAAGCCGGAGCUAAUACCGGAUAAUAUAUUGAACCGCAUGGUUCAAUAGUGAAAGACGGUUUUGCUGUCACUUAUAGAUGGAUCCGCGCCGCAUUAGCUAGUUGGUAAGGUAACGGCUUACCAAGGCAACGAUGCGUAGCCGACCUGAGAGGGUGAUCGGCCACACUGGAACUGAGACACGGUCCAGACUCCUACGGGAGGCAGCAGUAGGGAAUCUUCCGCAAUGGGCGAAAGCCUGACGGAGCAACGCCGCGUGAGUGAUGAAGGUCUUCGGAUCGUAAAACUCUGUUAUUAGGGAAGAACAAAUGUGUAAGUAACUAUGCACGUCUUGACGGUACCUAAUCAGAAAGCCACGGCUAACUACGUG